GCGCGUCUUGGCUGUGAGAAGGUCUUUUCCAGGUUGUAGAGUUCGACCUCAUGGCGGAGAUAAUUCAGGAACGCAUAGAGGAUCGACUCCCCGAAUUGCAACAGCUGGAGCGCAUUGGACUGUUCAGUCGUGCGGAGAUUAAGGCUAUCAUUAAAAAGGCUUCAGAUCUAGAAUACAGAAUAUAGCAAAGAACUCUUUUUAAGGAAGACUUUAUCAAUUAUGUUCAAUAUGAAAUCAAUCUUUUGGAACAGAUCCAGCGAAGACGAGUUCAUAUUGGGUAUUCAUUUAAGAAGGAUGAGAUUGAAAAUUCUAUCGUACACUGGGUACAAGGUGUCUUCCGACGUGCAUCAGCCAAG
Non-coding RNA from Kogia breviceps (pygmy sperm whale), 356 nucleotides. NCBI's taxonomy places the organism in Eukaryota, Metazoa, Chordata, Mammalia, Artiodactyla, Physeteridae. The record is from RefSeq and is a predicted model, not a curated record.